UACCAAUCUUAUAUGACCAGAAACUGGCAGGAGAAGUAUAGCUCUCUACAGGGGGAGGUCCUGUGACACACCCCUAGGCCCUCCUUCCUCAUGAAUACAGUAAUGAGGGAGGGUCCCAAGAGUAAGAUAAAAAAGGGCACAGACCCAGGUGCCAGCUAACUCAUAUUGUGGGGCAUCCAUGUUCUUUUGGAUUGUGAGUUCACUGUUUCUAACUCAGCCUCAGGAGGGCACAAGAUCCCGGGUCUCUUGCACUGGGUCAGAAUUGGGCUGCUUUGGAAAUACCGUAAAGAGAGCUCUCUGCAACGCCGUGUUCAGCACAACCCCUGGCCCAUAGCUGUUUCAGACAGAUUUAUGACAAAGAGUACAAAUUAAAGAGCCACUGUACAUUGUAGUAUUCCUUCAGACUUCUGCUUGGUACAAGGAAUUACAUGUACAGGCCCUGAAUACAUUAAUGGGAUUGUUCAGAGAAUGCAGACUUGGCAUUUCUGGUAUAUUUGGCAAUUUCCAACUACCAGUGCUUCCAAAAAUACCACACAUCCUAGGCCACUAGGCAACAGCCCUGCUAGCUCCUUGUGGCCCUUCAAGUUAAGCUGGCUAUACCCACAAACUGCCCUUGCAAAAGAGCAGAUCUUUCAUCAAUAUGCCUACCUUGAGGUGGGCAAUAAUGGGCUGACCGGAUCGUUUGGCUGCUAUGCGGGCAGUCAGAUCAAGGACCACCUUAAUGUACCAAUGCCAUCCUUGAACCAAUUGGAAAAUCACACCUGUCUGAUCAACAUCUGUCUGAUUUUGAGCUGGAUAUCUGUUGGGUAGGCCCAUUAGAUGGACCCACACAUGGGCAGAUAAGCUGCCCAAUCUGUCUAAAAGAGCCAAAUCAGCAGUAUAAAUCUACAUAUGUAUGGCCAACGUUUAAGGAAUGAGGGUGUUCUCGAUCAAUCUACAGGCACUUCACUACCUUUCAGUAUAACGUUUCACAUAACACAGAUUGUUCGAGUCGUAAGAAAUGGCAAUGCACACAAUAGUAUAGAAAGGUAUAUUUAAACAUAACUUGCAUUUUAUAAAGCUCUGGUACCUUAGCUACUAUAUUAAAAUAUGAUCACCAACUGCAACCAUCCUAAUGUUUUUCUUUGAAGUAACACAAUGUGUACACAUUUCUGUUAUUUUGCCCUUCACACAUUUGUAAUCUUCAAUAAACAUCUGUAAAAUUUUUUCCAGUAA
Long non-coding RNA from Xenopus tropicalis (tropical clawed frog), 1215 nucleotides. RefSeq lists it as uncharacterized. The transcript has 2 exons. The record is from RefSeq and is a predicted model, not a curated record. Lineage: Eukaryota; Metazoa; Chordata; Amphibia; Anura; Pipidae.